Molecule: ribosomal RNA, 253 nt
Filed under: uncultured bacterium
Lineage: Bacteria
Description: partial 16S ribosomal RNA
Rfam family: Bacterial small subunit ribosomal RNA
Source: RNAcentral
UACGUAGGGUGCAGGCGUUAAUCGGAAUUACUGGGCGUAAAGCGUGCGCAGGCGGUUUCUUAAGUCAGAUGUGAAAGCCCCGGGCUUAACCUGGGAACUGCGUUUGAAACUGGGAGACUUGAGUGUGGCAGAGGGGGGUGGAAUUCCACGUGUAGCAGUGAAAUGCGUAGAUAUGUGGAGGAACACCGAUGGCGAAGGCAGCCCCCUGGGUUAACACUGACGUUCAUGCACGAAAGCGUGGGGAGCAAACAGG